CAGGCAGAAGAGGCAGUCGCGGGGAUUCAUUCCACGAGGAAAGUCCGGACUCCACAGAGCAGCGUGCCGGGUAACGCCCGGUGAGAGUAAUCUUAAAGACAGUGUCACAGAAAAGCAAACCGCCGAAUUUUUUCGGUAAGGGUGAAAAGGCAGGGUAAGAGCCUACCGACGGACGGGUAACCGUUCGGGCUGACAAACCUCACGCGGAGCAAAACUAAAUAGGAAAGGGUUGAGGUUGCUCGCUGACCUUUCGGGUAAGUUGCUUAGACUUG
RNAcentral lists this RNase P RNA (272 nucleotides) under Quinella sp. 1Q7. RNAcentral describes it as "partial RNase P RNA component class A". It matches the Rfam family "Bacterial RNase P class A", at positions 1 to 288 of the family's 367-position model. From Rfam's summary of the family: Ribonuclease P (RNase P) is a ubiquitous endoribonuclease, found in archaea, bacteria and eukarya as well as chloroplasts and mitochondria. Its best characterised activity is the generation of mature 5'-ends of tRNAs by cleaving the 5'-leader elements of precursor-tRNAs. Cellular RNase Ps are ribonucleoproteins. The record is from RNAcentral. Lineage: Bacteria; Bacillati; Bacillota; Negativicutes; Veillonellales; Veillonellaceae.